CCCUUAGACGUUCUGGGCCGCACGCGCGCUACACUGACCAGUGCAACAAGCAUCCGUCCUUGGCCGACAGGCCCGGGCAAUCUUUGAACGCUGGUCGUGAUGGGGAUAGACUUUUGCAAUUUUUGGUCUUCAACGAGGAAUUCCUAGUAAACGCAAGUCAUCAACUUGCAUUGAUUACGUCCCUGCCCUUUGUACACACCGCCCGUCGCACCUACCGCUUGAAUGGUCCGGUGAAGCCUCCGGAUUGGCGCGCACCUCGGUGCCGCCGAGAAGUUGGCUAAACCUUACCAUUUAGAGGAAGGUGAAGUCGUAACA
This 315-nucleotide ribosomal RNA is filed under the name uncultured eukaryote. RNAcentral's name for it is "partial 18S ribosomal RNA". It matches the Rfam family "Eukaryotic small subunit ribosomal RNA", at positions 1470 to 1796 of the family's 1831-position model. The record is from RNAcentral.